GGCCCUAUAGCUCAGGGGUUAGAGCAC
RNAcentral lists this non-coding RNA (27 nucleotides) under Callithrix jacchus (white-tufted-ear marmoset). The record is from RNAcentral. RNAcentral also lists the same sequence under 4 other names. Lineage: Eukaryota; Metazoa; Chordata; Mammalia; Primates; Cebidae.